RNAcentral lists this ribosomal RNA (451 nucleotides) under uncultured bacterium. RNAcentral describes it as "partial 16S ribosomal RNA". It matches the Rfam family "Bacterial small subunit ribosomal RNA", at positions 28 to 523 of the family's 1533-position model. The record is from RNAcentral.
GACGAACGCUGGCGGCAUGCUUUACACAUGCAAGUCGAACGGGUGCAGCAAUGCAUCAGUGGCAGACGGGUGAGCAACACGUGGGAACCUUCCUAGGGGUACGGAACAACUCAGGGAAACUUGAGCUAAUACCGUAUACGCUCUUGCGAGGAAAGAUUUAUCGCCUUUAGACGGGCCCGCGUCGGAUUAGGUAGUUGGUGGGGUAACGGCCUACCAAGCCUACGAUCCGUAGCUGAUCCGAGAGGAUGAUCAGCCACACUGGGACUGAGACACGGCCCAGACUCCUACGGGAGGCAGCAGUGGGGAAUCUUGGACAAUGGGCGCAAGCCUGAUCCAGCCAUGCCGCGUGAGUGAAGAAGGCCUUCGGGUUGUAAAGCUCUUUUGUCAGGGACGAUAAUGACGGUACCUGAAGAAUAAGCCCCGGCAAACUUCGUGCCAGCCGCCGCAGUAA